GACGAAGGGGGCAAGCGUUGUUCGGAAUUACUGGGCGUAAAGGGCGCGUAGGCGGUUCUUUAAGUCAGGCGUGAAAGCCCUGGGCUCAACCUGGGAGUGGCGCUUGAUACUGGAGGACUAGAGAGUGGGAGAGGUUGGUGGAAUUCCCAGUGUAGAGGUGAAAUUCGUAGAUAUUGGGAAGAACACCGGUGGCGAAGGCGGCCAACUGGACCAUUUCUGACGCUGAGGCGCGAAAGCGUGGGGAGCGAACAGG
RNAcentral lists this ribosomal RNA (253 nucleotides) under uncultured bacterium. RNAcentral describes it as "partial 16S ribosomal RNA". It matches the Rfam family "Bacterial small subunit ribosomal RNA", at positions 524 to 776 of the family's 1533-position model. The record is from RNAcentral.